RNAcentral lists this non-coding RNA (31 nucleotides) under Mus musculus (house mouse). The record is from RNAcentral. Lineage: Eukaryota; Metazoa; Chordata; Mammalia; Rodentia; Muridae.
UGCAAAGAUUUUGCUUAAUGGUUACAUUCGG